Molecule: long non-coding RNA, 1755 nt
Filed under: Equus caballus (horse)
Lineage: Eukaryota; Metazoa; Chordata; Mammalia; Perissodactyla; Equidae
Description: lncRNA (ENSECAG00000053828.1)
Source: RNAcentral
GCUCCACAGCCCAUCACCCCCACAGCUUCAUGAGCAGCACUCGGUGGUUAAGGACACGGGCACCGGAGUCAGGUCGCCUCUGUCUCUAUGUGACCUUGGACAAGUCCCUCAGCCUCUCCGAGCCUCAGUUUCUGCAUCAUUAAAAUAGGGAUAAUAAUAAUACCUCCAUUAUAAGGUUUUGGGGGGUAUUUAAAGAAAGUAACAUAUAUGAAAUGCUUAGCCCGCUGCCUGGCACAUAGUGAGUAACUGUUUGGUGUCAUUAUAUUAUUGUUGUCAUUGUUAUAGCACUUUACAGUUUACAAAGAGCUUCCGUGUAUAUUACAUGUUCAUGUGAUUUUCAUAAAGGCUCUUAGAGGGGGCAAGUAAUUCCAUCGUACAAAUCAAAAUCUGUGACUCAGAGAAGUUGUGAGAGUCACAGAGCUAGUUUCUUUGGACUCCAAGCCAGAGACAAGGCUGUCUCCGAUUCACAGGGUAAUACCUUAUUUACUGUUGGUAGAGGCUCCUGUUUGGAGAGGAUUAGAGUCUGUGGCUGUAAAAGUGUUCUGCACCCACAGCUGUAUCGAGAGCAUUUGUAAGAGUCAUGAUGACAGUGGGCGCUGUCUCUUCUGAGCCAUCUCAGUGCACCGGACCGUCCUCAGCAGCCUGGCUGGUGGGAUCGCUGUGCCCUGGAGGGGUGGGGGACGUCUCCCUCUCUCCCCAAACACUCUGUCCCUGCGUCCCCAGCCACCAUUUCCUUCCAGAUUGUGAUGCAGAUAGAGAAUUAGAACUAGGGAGCAAGUUGCCUAGAGAGGGGCUUCUGGAGCACAGACUUUAAGCCGGACUUGACACUGGGAAACUCACGUCUAGAGCCCGGAGCCAGUGCUUCCCUAGGGCUGAGCCUCAGCUUCUUCCACAGCUCAGCCCUGGCGAUGAAGGGAGCCUCGGUUUGAAAACAGUGGCGUGCUUGCCUCGGAAGGCCUGGGUCUCAGUUCCAACGCACACCUGUGGCUCGAGCCUCCACGCCGGGACCGCCUGCUGCCCAGGAGCAAGUGCAAGUAAACCAGAGACAUCCCUCCAGCAUGUCACCUGCUCUGUCCUCCAGCUCUUCAGUGCUGAACGCUGGGUGUCUUUAAAGGCUGCCAUUUCUGGCGCUUGUGAGAGCAGCACUUUUCUAGAAGCUCCUAUGGGGCCUCUGCUUUCUGUAGGAACAGUGUCACAUGUGGCAAAUUACACUGCCUCUGGGAGAAAUAAAACUGUCAAACCACGCUGCAGUGGGGGCAGCGGACAGGCAAACAUACUCUUAACAGGUGUCCUGCUAGAGGGGAGAUCUCUGGAUGCAGCCUGCAUCUGGGCAGCUCAGUCCUAGCAAGGAGGUGCCCUUCACAGAAUGGGCAGUAGAAAACUUUUCUGCUCUUGACAGGUGUGGUGGUGGCGCAAGGGCUGAACGGAGCGGGUUGGCGCUGGCACAGUGGAGCCCUGAGGGCCUGCCUCCUCUCAGGAUGCUUCUCUGGGGCUGCUGCCCUAAGAAAUGACUAGUGGGGCACCCCCAUCCCCACCUCACCCUUCCCACAUAUCCACCAGCGGAUUUGAGCCUUUGCCAACUGCAAAACCAAAGAGAGCCAGGGCUGGGGCCAAGACUGUGGGCUCAGAGCCACUCUGGUGCAUGUGUCUGGCUCAUCCUUCACCUGGUCCUGUCUCUCAGAGGCCUCUGAGAAGAAGCGACAUCUGCUAGUUGCCACCAAUACAUUUCCCUUCCCCGACAGUGCUGCUAACCAG